GCACCUAAAUAAAUAAAAUAAAAAGGAGGGAGGGUGGCACAAUGAAUAUCCCACAGAAACUAAUUGUUCAAUGACAACAGAUUAAAAUAUUCAAAACCAGUUUUGCACUCCAAUAUUUCCUUACGACAGACAGUUGAAUCAUCACCAUGGAAUUUGUUUCUUUUGAAAAACAAAUGCCUUGUUCUGGUGAGUCAUGCCAUAGAUUUAGUCCAAAUGGACAAAACAUGAUACUCACCAGGAUAAUGAGUUCAAUCACCAACUUUCUUUCUUCAUAUUCUGAGCAUAAUCUAAUCGCCUAAUCAUCAAAAUAACUUAUCAAGUACCAAGCCCUGUUGUUUUACAAAUGGGGCACCAA
Molecule: unclassified non-coding RNA, 355 nt
Filed under: Hevea brasiliensis (rubber tree)
Lineage: Eukaryota; Viridiplantae; Streptophyta; Magnoliopsida; Malpighiales; Euphorbiaceae
Source: RNAcentral